ACUUACGCGGCCAUGUGAGCAAAUGGACAUUUUUAAAAGGGAUUCAUAGCAACUCCCAGACAUGUCCUCAUUUCACAAUGCCGGGGGAAGGUGAUUAGAUGAGCUUUUGCAUCUUUGACUCUACUGUGACGGAAUUAUCCUGAGAUUGUGCAGAAACACCCGCAGGAAUUCACGGGUGUUACAAACAGUGCAAACCUAAUGGGGCUUCACUACCCACAAGGGGAGGCUGGACAGAGCCGUCGGGCCCAGAGGCUGUGAACGGUCCGGGAGGUGCCGCAGGCCCUAAGGGAGACCAGGGUAUUGCAGGUUCCGACGGUCUUCCUGGGGAUAAAGGAGAACUGGGUCCCAGCGGCCUGGUCGGACCCAAAGGAGAGGUGAGUGCCUGGCGACUGUUCCGAUGACACCAUCCAUGGGUGCCUGCUGGCUUCCUGCCCACCUCUGGGCAACCAGGCGGCCCUGCAGGGCACUGCCCAGAUCUGAGAUGUAAAAAAGCUUGCUCUGGUCAAGGCUGGGCAAGACGGCUCCGUGCCGGCCAGGAAAGAGCACGU
RNAcentral lists this small RNA (548 nucleotides) under Pan troglodytes (chimpanzee). RNAcentral describes it as "retained intron". Lineage: Eukaryota; Metazoa; Chordata; Mammalia; Primates; Hominidae. The record is from RNAcentral.